Molecule: non-coding RNA, 84 nt
Organism: Mucidula mucida
Lineage: Eukaryota; Fungi; Basidiomycota; Agaricomycetes; Agaricales; Physalacriaceae
Source: the annotation of a GenBank genome assembly
GCAUUAAUGGGGUAGUGGUAACCUGGGUCGUUGCCAUGUGCAAUGUUGGUCGACCCGCCGGGGGUUCGAUUCCCCCUUAAUGCA